This is a long non-coding RNA of Myotis davidii, 576 nucleotides long. RefSeq lists it as uncharacterized. The transcript is spliced from 3 exons. Lineage: Eukaryota; Metazoa; Chordata; Mammalia; Chiroptera; Vespertilionidae. The record is from RefSeq and is a predicted model, not a curated record.
GCCAAGCGGGGAGUGGGGGAGCACGGUGGGGGAGGGGGACCGCUGCCGCAAUGCGCGCUUUCCUGGGAGCCCAGAUGGAGAGGGGGCGCCGAGCGCGCGCGCCGCGGGCUGUGCUUGCGCGCCCCCGCCUGGGGCUAUAAAAGCCUCAUCACCUGCGGCCACUGAGCCUCCAGUGGUCCGGAGAAGCCAAUUCACCCUCUCCAGCGCCAUCUCCGCUCGACAUGGACCCUGAGACCUGCCCCUGUCCUACCGGAGGGUCCUGCACCUGCGCUGGCGCCGACUCCUGCAAGUGCGAGGGAUGCAAAUGCACCUCCUGCAAGAAAAGCUGCUGCUCCUGCUGCCCGCCUGAGUGCGAAAAAUGCACCAAGGAGUGUGUGUGCAAAGGCGGAGAGGGGCCGGAGGCCGAGGCUCAGAAGUGCAGCUGCUGCGAUUGAGAUGAGGACCUGCCCCUCCAGGAAACACGUGUAAAUAGUGCUGAGUGGCCCAGGGCCACCUUCCCUGCGGGAGGGUGGGGGGGGGUCUUGGCUGUGUGCCCCCCACUCCUGCAAGUGACAAUAAAGCCUAUGAAUGGCAUAA